UGUGUAUGAAACGUGCUCUAUAAAUAAAGUUUUUAUAAAUAACGUUUGAUAUGUUUGAAGGAGCUUUCUGCAGAUUUCCUGCACUUGCUAACCUUCGUGUCCCAAGCAGCAACACCACAGAUUAAUUUUCCCAGCGUUGCUUUCAACGAGUUUCUCCUGCUGGAACUUUUAUUCCAGAUACUGAUGGAGGUUCUCAGGUCUUGAUUGACUCCAGGAUGAAGCCUCAGCAUGCAGCCAGAAGUCAUUUCCACUGCUGCUGCAUCCAGCAAGAUCAGUCAUUCAUAUCCUGGAGCUCAUCUAGUUUCUGCCUGUAACUGAGGUUUUGGUGACGGGUCCUGGUCCCUGUGGAGAGGCUGUAGCAGCUCCAUGAAGCCAUCACCAUGAUGUUUGAGUUCAGCUUCUCAUUGCUGACAUGGAGGGAAGGUUUGAGUCUGAAAUCAAGUGUUUGUAUUACGUGGUGGUUUGUAAAUCUUUCUCUUCAUGCAGUGCAUCAUUUUUGUAUAAUUCCGUACUUUUCUAUAUUUGUGGCUUUUUUAUAAACAUUCGUACCUUUUUUCCUUA
Long non-coding RNA from Melanotaenia boesemani (Boeseman's rainbowfish), 561 nucleotides. RefSeq lists it as uncharacterized. The record is from RefSeq and is a predicted model, not a curated record. The transcript has 2 exons. NCBI's taxonomy places the organism in Eukaryota, Metazoa, Chordata, Actinopteri, Atheriniformes, Melanotaeniidae.